This is a small nuclear RNA of Hyaena hyaena (striped hyena), 107 nucleotides long. The record is from RefSeq and is a predicted model, not a curated record. NCBI's taxonomy places the organism in Eukaryota, Metazoa, Chordata, Mammalia, Carnivora, Hyaenidae.
GUGCUCUCUGCAGCGGCGCAGAGACUGAAAUUGAAGCGACACAGAGAAGACCAGCGUGGCCCGUGCACCAGGAUGGCACCCAAAUUCACGAAGCGUUCGUAUUAAAA